ACACUACAUCCCAGGUGCAUUCCUGAAAUACUUGCUGGGUGGAUUGAGCUUAUUCUGGGGCCUAUCCUGCUUGAAUAUGCAAAGGAUUCCAGUGUUAUCUGGUAUAUCUGAUGCGGCAUUGACCUAUACUCUCAUAUCUUAUCUUCCUACUCAGUAUGCAACCAGAAAAUGCUGGUGCUGCUGUACUACUGAGGGCAGUGCCUCCCUCCAACAACUGCUCCGCAGUGUGAGAUGUGGCCACUCACACAGACUCCUAAUACAGCCCACCGCAUGUAGUCUGGCAAGGUUUUGUUAGCCUCUUCCCCACCAAGGAAACAAAGCUUUUGCCUUGUAAUCCUCUGGAACCCAAGGGAGAGCCAUCUGUCUGUCAGUACCAGAGAUAACUUCUCUUCUAGAGGAAUACAAAAUCUGAACCACAGCUGCAGCUGCAGCACUGCUAUCCAAGCUUUACGAGUGUUUUUAAGAGGCAAUUGAACAAUCAGUCCAGAACACCGAUGUUGACCUGAUUUCUGCUUAAGGAACACCUGACUUUGUUUCCCACUUUCUCCCUUCCCACCUCAGUUCCUGGGGUGACAGGGCCAAGUUCCAGCAACAAUAGCUGAGUUCUGGCAUUUUGACAUCCAAACCAGGGAUUGUUGUUGCAAAACCAUGUGCAAUUCAGCGCUGAGCAAUGUGUUCCCUACACACAGCUCAGUGCAGUACACUGGGAUGGUUACUAUUAUCGACACUAUUAGGACAUACAGGAGAGCAUGAUGCAAUAGAAGGAACACCAAGCUGAGAUAAAGGUGACAUGGGGAACUGUUGUAGGCAGCUUGAAGGUAUAACUAUAUGCGAAAGCCCCACUGGUUCUGGAGUUGGCCUAUGGAUUCGCAAUGAAUGGAGCAACCAGAAAGGAAUGCAGAUAUAACGGAGAGCCCUCCCUGCCAUCUGCACCCAUGAGCCCACUGCAUCAUAGGAUUUUUGCAGGCCCUGCCAUACAAAAAUAACCAAAACCAAGUGAAAAAGUGUUUAGUCUUACAAAUCUCAAAAUAAAAGGAACCUUGGAUAUGAGUGAUUCUUUCUCAUCUCUAAACAUAUAUGUACUUCCAUAAUGCUGAACUCAAUUCUUCUUUUCUUUAUCUUGCAUUUAAACAAUAGACCAGGUUUUAUGGUUCUAUGCGAAGAACUUGUUACACAAGCUCCAGUGACUCACAAUCUUGUUGAACACUGUAUUCCCAAGUACUAGCCUCUAACACCAGGAAUCCUGGUAAAUGGAAUUAAAUAUUUUGCAAGAAUAUCUUGCUACAGCAUUUAAUACAUCUCUUGCAUAACUGACUCUUUUGGUGGGAUCUUUACUUUGGAAAGUAAAACAGAUAUAUGCAUGUAUUCAGUUGAGAGGUUGUAACAUGUUGAUACUGAUUUACUUGAGAGUUUUGGCCAAAUUUGGUGUGCUUAUGUUGCUGGGAGUAAAAGGGAG
Molecule: long non-coding RNA, 1456 nt
Filed under: Gallus gallus (chicken)
Lineage: Eukaryota; Metazoa; Chordata; Aves; Galliformes; Phasianidae
Description: lncRNA (ENSGALG00010010357.1)
Source: RNAcentral